ACCCGCUGAAUUUAAGCAUAUCAAUAAGCGGAGGAAAAGAAACCAACAGGGAUUGCCUCAGUAACGGCGAGUGAAGCGGCAACAGCUCAAAUUUGAAAUCGGCCCCCAGGUCGAGUUGUAAUUUGUAGAUUGUAUCUUGAGAGCGGAUUAAAGUCUGUUGGAACACAGCGCCUUAGAGGGUGACAGCCCCGUAAAAUCUAUUCUCAUUGUAAGAUACUUUCGAAGAGUCGAGUUGUUUGGGAAUGCAGCUCUAAGUGGGAGGUAAAUUCCUUCUAAAGCUAAAUAUUGACGAGAGACCGAUAGCGAACAAGUACUGUGAAGGAAAGAUGAAAAGCACUUUGAAAAGAGAGUGAAAAAGUACGUGAAAAUGUUAAAAGGGAAGGGUAUUGAAUCAGACUUGGUGCUGUUGUUCAACUGUGUUUUGGCACAGUGUACUCAGCAGUACUAGGCCAAGGUGGGGUGUUUGGGAGUGAAAAAGAAGUUGGAACGUAACUCUUCGGAGUGUUAUAGCCUACUUUCAUAGCUCCUCAGGCGCCUCAGGACUGCGCUUCGGCAAGGACCUUGGCAUAAUGAUUCUAUACCGCCCGUCUUGAAACACGGACCAAGGAG
Molecule: ribosomal RNA, 609 nt
Filed under: uncultured fungus
Lineage: Eukaryota; Fungi
Description: eukaryotic LSU rRNA
Rfam family: Eukaryotic large subunit ribosomal RNA
Source: RNAcentral